AUUCUCGUAGGGGCCCCUGCGGUGCCCGGGGCCUGGGGCAAAUUGCCCCACUCAUCGUCCCCCCCCCGGGCGGCCCUGGUGAAUGUGGGGUGGGCUUGCACUCCAAUCUUCCACCUGAAUUAUUGUUUUUUCUCCUACACCUCAAUGGGAAAUUUACUAAACAUUUGUGUGCCAAAAUUGUGGGCUUUAUCGUGGUUAUAACUUCAACUUGUAAAUACAACAGUUUAUUGUACAGUGAUCUCUACAGAGAUCCAAUGCAGUCACCCACAAGUUGAAUUCCUGCUGUGAAAUCUUCAGGGCAUUUAAAUGUUUGAUUGAGAAAGCGCUAAAAUAUAAAUGUAGGAGUCACUGACAUUUCCUUGGCCCGAUGUUGUUUUUAAGGCCUUUGGUAAACACUUUCUAUCUUAUAUGUUUUACAGGGCAUCUCUAUAAAUAUUUCCCUGACAUAUUCAUUCUUAGAGAAGGAAAAGCCUCAUUGUGGUUAAUUAGUUCGCAUGCUGUGAUGAAAGGUGAGUUCAUCUAACGUUGUUAUAAAAACCUCACGAAUUUGUGUAAUCAUUUCUUGAACCUGGGAAAAGCCAUCAGAAUACAAUACAGAAGAUGCCAUCCAUAGGUCUGGGCACAUCCACACUAUCACAACCAGUGUUAAAUAUAAUCACCAGUAAACUAGAAACCUUCAACAAUCUCCAAUACUGACCAAUUAGUGACUGUCUGGAUUAAGGUCAAAGCAACCUCCUAAAUACCUGAGAGAACAAACGAUCUUUUCAGCAUGCAUGGAAUGGCAACAAAUCUGGGCUCCAGACGAUCCAGGGGAAGCACAUUCCUGAGUCAAGGCCUGAUGGAGAAUACCCUGCCAGCUGCUUCCUUCCAUUCCUCACAAGGGAGCUCCGUGCUGAGUGCCCCUGUGGAUCCCAACUCUGGAUGUAUUGUACGGGGAGAAAGAUGAUCUCUUAGCACAAGACUUGAACAGAAGAGAAACGGGACGAUGAAGGAUACAGCAUCAAGAUUAUUGCUGCUAGACGGACUACAGUCACUGCAAACCAAGGCAUCAAAUUAAGGAAGAUCUAGGAAGCAUGAUGUGCUUUAUUGGCUUGGCUUUCUGUUCAGAUUUAAAUGAUAUUCUAUGACACACUAAUAGUUGGUAGAGUUAGAUGGGCAAAAGAUUUCUGUAAGGCUUCCAUGUUCUACACUUAUCUAGCUGGCAAUCUCCUUUGCUUUAGUUUCUGUAAAAAAGGGAACUAAUCAAACUGUCUUUCCAUAGUAACAUUUUGAGUUUGUCUUAGUAUUUCUCUGGAAAAAGCCCAUCUAUUACAUCAUCUGUAGACUCUUGAGUUGUGGGCCAGAUGGUCUGGUGAGUGUUAAGAGCCCCUCUACCUUCCUGCAUGUGCAGAUUCCACCUUCCUCCAUGGAAGUGUAUGGGGGGCUGACACCUUCAUGGCAUCAGUACCAAACCUCCUGAAUUUCCUCUGUGGGAUCAGAGAUCUGCAGCUUGAAAGGGGCAGAGGGAUGGGGGGAAUGGGAGGGAGAGGGUCAUGUGUGAGGGAGACAGAGAGUUAACUCAGCCUUAGUUAAUUUGUCAAUGGAUUAUAAUACCAGUGUAACCCCUUUCCAGGUGUUGUCAGCAGCAAUAAGGACCAGGUUCAAAUAUCUAGGGAUUCCUCUUAAAAUUAACAUACCAUUGGCUCAAGCCCCAACCUAGAGACCUGAGGAAACUGGGCACCUUAAUAGGCAAUACUUCCGCACUCACAGUCCCUGAGUCUGUGUGUGAAACAAGGAAAACUUUAUUAAGGGACAAGGGGACAUGGCAUUAACUUGGGAAAACAGCAACAGUAAAUCAGCAAUAUAUUUAUAUGAACCAUAAGUGAAACCCUCACACCAUUGAUAACUUUGGGAGUCAUCCUUUACCUCAAUUCCCCACUAGCUAGUGUGAACAUUUGAUAGGCCUCUUUAAUAUGUCAAAUUCCACCUUCCCCCUGAGCUACACACUACUCCAUGGUUGGUGUCAGUGGUUAGUGUAGUUCCAGAGUGCACUUGGGUGGUUCUGUCAGCAGCCACUAGGCAAAGCGAUGGCCGAUCCAGUCCUGAGGUUCCACCACCUCACCCUGCUGUUGAGAUUUCAGCUUGAUUUGAUGCUGGGUAGGGAGGGCCUCAGCAGAAUUCAUGCAGCUCUGUUGCUGCCUCCGUGACUUCAGCAAAGAGCUACCUCAGUGCUGUGUCUCACUGCAAAGCAUGAUCCUAUCACAAGGUCUUCAGUGGAGGGGGUGAAUUGCCUAUAGGACCCGUGAGCAGAGUCCCUUUCCCCUCCCUCUGUCUCUCUGUUAAAUUCCACUAUCCCACCAAUUCCCAUCACUCACUGACACCCCAUCUGACUGGCAUCACCACUUGGAUGGUUUCUGGGUAGAAAGCUUAUGUAAAUGGACUCUCUCUAGGCAUACAUUUCCCCUGGCAGUACUGAGCUCCCUUCCCUCUAGAGCAGCGGUUCUCAAACUGUGGGUCAGGACCCCAAAGUGGGUCGUGACCCCAUUUUAAUGGGGUCGCCAGGCUGGCUUAGAUUUGCUGGGGCCCAGGUCAGCACUGGGUGGCAGGACUCAGUUUACAGGCUCCCUGCCUGAGACUGAAGCCCCUGGGCUUCUGCUUUGGCUCCCCCACCCGCAGCGGUGGUGCUCAGGCAGGCUCAGGCACGUGUAGUAACGUCUCAUGCAGCGCCUCAUGGUCUCAGACGCCAUCCGAUGGUCCAGGGACAUCUACAUCGAGCACAUCACCGGCCACCGACAGUACCAGGAGGCGUGAGCCAGAGUGACAUCGUUCUCCCACUACAAGAAAGAGACCAAGUGACCUUCUCCAUUGGAUCAUAUGAACUGGAACCAUAAACUCCCUGAACAUUAAAUCUCACCAAAUGAGGAUCAAUCCAUCCUCAUCAUCAUAUCAACUCAUUAUUAUCCACACCCGAACAUAGCCACUUCAUGAACUUCAUACCCUCAUAUCUCAAUGUCUGUACUUUGACCCAUGAACCUUUUACCCCCAAUCGGGGAUAUUGCAGAUUAUGUAUUCCUCAUGCCACCUUAUCUUAAACCAAACUUUGCACCCUUGAUAAUCUGUAUGUUAUUCCCUGAUAACCAGAAACUUCUAUGCUCAAACUCUGUUCACUAUUUUUUUCUUUAACAUCAUCUUAAUAAAAUUUUUGUUGUCAGAAGGGGGUCUCAGUGCAAUGAAGUUUGAGAACCACUGCUCUAGAGUGUGGAGAGGGCUCACACAUUAUUUUAAUAUGCUAUACCAUUAACUUCUAACUGUCCAUUUCCACUUCUAGGAAGUCUGAGCAGCUUCAACUCCCAGUGACUUCAGUAGGAAUAAAGUCACUCUGCAUGAUCAGGCCCUUGAUUGUCAGGAGUCAUAAGCAAUAAGUAAGAAAACUAUACAAGAGCAUGAUAAAAAGUGAAAGACUUUCCCUAGUGAUCAGCCAUCUGCCUGCUCUGCUUCCCCAUGCCAGCUUGUUUCUGAAGCCACAGUUUUUACUUAGCUGACUCAAGGCACCAAAAGAAUUCAACAGUUCUGAAGUUACUGCCAAAGAAGAGAAUGCUGUGGGAGGCUAACUUCAGAAGUCAUCAUGACACAAGAAGUGCAAGACAUCACAAUCACUGACCUCCAGAAGACUGCGCUCUUAGGCACUGUGAGAAUUUUGAGGAAAGUGGAGAAUGAGUGCCUUUGAGCACCUAAAAUGCAGGAACUCUCUGGAGGGUUUAAUAAAACUCCUGACUACCCAAACCUACAGAGUCGGUGCAUGGUCAGAUGUAUUGGUGACUCCGGGGGAUACAUUUUAGACAGUAACUUCCCCUUUUAUAUGCUAAAAGAUCUUGUAUGUUAUGAAGGCUCUUUGUCUGAAACAAACACAUCCCAUGAUGUCGUACUGAGGGAUAAUAAUGAUAGUAAGUUAGAAAGCAGAGAAUGGGAUGAUGUCUGCAGUGUAAUUACUUUAUUCAUGCUAGCUAUAAUGGAGUGGCCUUUUGGAACUGGAAUAACUUCUCCCUUUCUUUACAUUUUACCUCAAAUCUUUUAUUACGAGUCUGUCAGGAGUGAUGAUUUGAAGUCGUUCAUUUUAACAAAGUCUGUUCAUAAUUAAGAGCUAUGUUGUGCCUAGUAUUAUUUCAUAAACAAAAAUGUAUUCAAAAAGGGUUAAGGUUAUUGUGUAUUUCAUUGGAGUCUCGCUAACACUCAAUUACAUUUUCUUUACAAAAAUUCUACAACCUCAACAUCGAUUGUUGGGAGUGAACUACAUCCACCCUGAUUGUAUUGGCCCUGUCAACACUGGUUCUCCACUUGUGAGUUAACUCCCUUCUCUUCAUGUGUCAGUAUAAACAUGCCUCAUCUGUAAUUCUCACUCCAUGCAUCUGAAGAAGUGGGUUUUUUACCCACGAAAGCUUAUG
This is a long non-coding RNA of Malaclemys terrapin pileata, 4421 nucleotides long. RefSeq lists it as uncharacterized. The record is from RefSeq and is a predicted model, not a curated record. NCBI's taxonomy places the organism in Eukaryota, Metazoa, Chordata, Testudines, Emydidae. The transcript has 4 exons.